UCUGUUUUCCUUCCUCAGAACAGUCGUGUACCUCGAUGUGAGGAGUGGAUGGGACAGAAUCAUUCUUUUCAUUCGAAGAAAGUUUGAGUUCAACAUAAGAUGUGUCCUGAACGGUGGUCAGAGUCCAGAGCCCUUCUGCUCUCCACAUGACAGAGGGAAUCAAGAUAAUUGUCUUAUUGAUUUUCUUGUGUUCUCUGCUCACUUCGCUGAACAGGGUUUGUUUAGGGAUUGCACUUGUAGAGAAGUUUGGGAUUUGUCUUUGUGUCCGCACAAAGGCCUCUCUCGAAAAGCCCCGUUGUGCCUGCACACACUCACACAUUACAGUACAGGGAGUGUUGACCUGCAUCCUGAGUGAGUGUGUCUGUGUGUAUGAGUGUGUGUGUGUGUGUGUGUGUGUCUAUAUCUAUGAAUCAACUUUGUCUCCCUCCUUCACUCCCUCUUUGUCUCUCCAGGAGCAGAAAGGCAGGACAGCAGAUCACAUUAAGUGUAGCUGCUGUACCAUUGCCUGUAGCAUGACCUGACAGACUGUUGAGAUGGCCUGGAUGAGGCAUCUCUCUCUGUCCCUCUGUCUGUCUGUGUGUCUCUCUCUCCCUAUCUUUCUCCCUCUCUCUGUUUUAUCUCUUCUCCUCCCCCCGCCCCCUCCCCCCAGGUCCCUACUGGCCCUUGGCCACUACAGAAACAACAAGGCCACAGCAGAUGUAAUUCACGGAGAGUUAGACAUCCUCACAUCAACAGACUGGGGCCUGUUAUACAAAGCCCCCUGGUUGGUUUCUCCUCAGUGGCAGUUUAUGGGUCUUUAUGAGACAGGACCUCCAGCGAUAUCGGACCUCACCAACCACACUCCUCACCACAACACGUGGAGAGCGAGACAGGAAAUCCGGAACUGGUUUUAAAGAUGGCGGAGGACCACGGGGGUCGGGCUGGCGUUGUCGGAGCGAGUUCUGCACCGCUGCGUUUCCUGGCUGUCUCCCGGAUCUGCCGAGACGGCUGAGCUUUGAUGUUUACAAACGAGAGCAAAGAAGGGUUAUGAACAAAAGUUCCCGGUCGAGACUCCAGCGUUUCUCCAGCCAGCUCCUUGCCUUGCCCUACUCUCGCCUGAAGACCUGCAGCCCAUACCCCCGCUCCACACACUCUUUCCUGGACCUGAAAUACUCACCUUUGAACCUUCGUCUCACGAGUUCGUUUUAAGGUCCGAACAUUGUUGCACUGUAACAUACAUACCACAAUUAACUAUGUUUAUACAGGCCACUUCAUAGUCCAGUGGUGCUGAGAAAUAUGAAUGUCUUGAAACAAGUAUAUUCAGAUGGGAAUCCACUGGAUUAGGUGUAGAAUAACCACAAUGACAUCAUCAACGCGGAGUGUAAUUAUACUCAUGUCU
Osmerus eperlanus (European smelt) is the source of this 1378-nucleotide long non-coding RNA. RefSeq lists it as uncharacterized. The transcript is spliced from 4 exons. The record is from RefSeq and is a predicted model, not a curated record. Lineage: Eukaryota; Metazoa; Chordata; Actinopteri; Osmeriformes; Osmeridae.